Chrysemys picta bellii (western painted turtle) is the source of this 394-nucleotide non-coding RNA. The record is from RefSeq and is a predicted model, not a curated record. Lineage: Eukaryota; Metazoa; Chordata; Testudines; Emydidae.
AGACUUAUUCUUCUAGCUGUGGAUAUCUCCAGUUCAGUCUCUGAUGUCAGACAAGAUGAUGGCCUUCACAGCAACAUAAAAGAGGAUUUGUCUGGGACUGGAAAUGAUGGAAUCACUUGAGAGAGACUGUUCAUGCAGGAUUUCUGGCUUCUUCAGAAGCAGGAACUACAAGAGAUCUCUCAAGUCAGUUCUUUAAAGAUUUCAAGCUACCUCUAGAAAACCCCAGUGGUUUGGAUGGUUCAGAUAAGCCCCUUUGCACCACUCAGGAGGCAUAAAGAGGCGUAAUGCAUCUACAUAAUCACCAGCAGAAUAUUCCUUGGGCAUAGGAACUCCCAGCUGGAGGCCCUGUACCACAGCUGGGCCCUGCACCUCUGCCCCUGUAACACCAGGAAGG